GUUCGGCAAGAGCAGUUCUGUGAGCUGGCGGAGCCUGGCGUCUGCCUGCGUGACGUGGAGGAACCGCAGGCGGCGACCGCGGACAGAAUGUACAGGUUUCUGGGCGAGGAAUGGAGAAUGAGGCGGAGCUGGGCUGCAGGAGACGGAGGCAGAGAGAGACGGCCUGGCGGGAGAUGCAGGGGCCCGCGGCAGGGCCCUGGAAGCUCCAGGCGGGAGGAGGGACGUGGUGGCGGGCGGGAGGGCAAGGGCUGGGGCCCGGGCUCAUUCCGCAGAGCCUGCGGGUACAGCAGGCUGAGGGGUCAGACUGAGCACAGGGAGCUGAAUAGCGAGCCCCGCCCGGCAGGGGAAAUGAAGGGAGGGUGGUGUGAGAGCUUCUGCCAGGGGCAGAAGGACACCGAGGGACCGCAAGCAGAGCCGAGGGAGUGCGCGCUAGCCCCGGAAGAGGGUGCGCUGGGCUGGCUGCUGAGCUACCCUCAGGAGCUGCAGGGGCUCGAGGGGCUGGAAAUGCUGCGGCAGAAACUGGAAGGGCCCUGCCUAGGUUGGCUUAGGAGUAGAGGGGUGCACCCUGGUCAACCCUGCACCUCCGGGGCGCCACGCGCUCGCUGGCGGGAGGGCGGAGGGAGGCGGGAAGGAGACGCUAAGGCGCUGCGAUCCCGGACGCGCAGCCCUCUAGGCGUGGAGGCUGCUGGAGCCGCCAGGCAGCUUCUCGGCGACUCCACGCGUCAGUGCAGAGAUGCUGCAGGGACGCAGCGCUCACAAAAGCAGCUCCGCUCACAAAAAUACGGCCACACCGAGCAGACGUCUGCUUUGACACCACUCGACCCUGCCAAAAAGAGCAAUUAAUGGGAUCAGAAGGGCGGGAGGUGGGAGGGAAGGCGGGGAGUGGGCAAUGAGCAGAGCCUGGCUUUCUAUCCCAGGACAGCGUGGUGUUCUCAAGGGAAUUUAGACAAACAUUUCAUCCUAACCUCAACAACAGGUCCUCCUGAGUCCUCAUACAACCUAUCCUUAGGCGGUAACAGGCUGCAGCUGUUGAAGUCUAAUUUCACUCUAUUGAUUGGUACUUUCAAUGGAAUGCUUUCUGAUUAAUUCUGUGCCUUUAGUUUUACCCUGGACAUGUUUCAAGACAAUGUAUUAAUAAGACUCUGGUGUUACGUAUUCAAUCAAUUUAUAGAUGAAACCCAGAAAACUCAAAUAUGGUUAGAGGACUGGAUUAAAUGAUAUUUACUUUGGCAAUAGAGAAAUAAAAGUAUACUGAACUGAUGGAAAUAUUCUAAAACUAUAUUGCAGUGAUGGUUACACAACUCUACAGAUUUACUGACAAUGGGUGAAAUAUGUAGCAUGUUAAAAAUACCAGCUGUUAAAAAUGAAGAAAAAGUCUAUCAGUAAAAAAAUAAAUACGUGUCUAACUGGAAGAAGAUAAGAUACAGAGGCAGGGGGGAAAGAGGGUAGGGUAGGGGGGCUAAGAGCCUCAUUCACAUCGUGGUGUGGCAGUUAAUACAGUCUAAGUUUACAGAACAAGAAAUUCAAGUUCAAGCAUAUUGCUUAAAUCUAGUUAACCUAUAGGAAAACUAAGUAUAAUAAUAAGCACAGCAAAGUAGGAGGAAGAAGACAAGUAGCCUUAAUCAGCUAAACCUUCCUCUUUUAUAAUGGAAAGCCACUGCAAAAGAAAUCGAGGUUGAUAAAUACAGAAGCUCGAUAAGUGUAUUAUUACUUAAAAUUUUGAAUUUUGAAAGGAACUCCCCAAAAAUCUAAAAAUGCUUAUUGUUAAAAAAAAUUUUUUUUGAGAUAGGAUCUCUCUCUGUCACCCAGGCUGGAGUGGAAUGGUGUGAUCAUAGCACACUACAGCCUCUCUACCUCCUGGGCUCAAGCGAUCCUCACGUCUCAGCCUCCUGAGUAACUGUGACUACAGGUGGGUGCCAGCACACCCAGCUGAUUUUUUUAUAGAGAAGAGGUCGCGCUGUGUUGCCCAGGCUGGUCUCAAACUCCUGGCCUCAAGCAGUCCUCCCACUUCAGCUCCUAAAGUGUUGGGACCACAGGCAUGAGCCACCAUGCCAGCCUAAAUUUUGCCUUUAAAAAUUGUCCCAUGAAUUCCUGGAUUGGCAUAACAGUUGGUAUUGUCUUGAUAGAAGAGUUGUUGAAAUAAUCUAUCACCUUCACACUGCCCGGCAUGUGCACACACGUGCAUGUCUGCGCAUGUCCGUAUGUGUGCACAUGUCACAUGAAUGUGCAAGUGUGUGCAAAUGUGCAAGUGUUUGUGUGUGCUUGUCUGUGUCCAUGUGUAUGUGUGUAUGUAUGUUUUAAGAGACCUGUAAAAUCAAAAGAAAACUAGCCUCAAGGUAAAAUUACAAAAAAUCCCCACAUAUUUACAGUGAUCAGUGACAUAGUCUUUCUUUUCUUGAAUAAAUAUUACAAUUUGAUUAUCUGAGAUGCUUUUAUAUUUAGGAAAUGAGUUAAUACAGAUUAAAUUACAUUUCAAUAUUUUAAAUAUCUUCCUAAAUCUUCAUGACUUUUAUUACUGAAUCUGCUGCUAAAGGUCUUGGUACAAUUAAAUUUUAAAACUUUUUUGAAAGGAGGGGAGAAAAUUUUAUUUUUCUAAUUUUAUGCUUCAAAUUUAUAUUACGUACAUUAAGUGCUAUGUAAACUUGUCUUUAGGAUAUCAGUAUUUAACUUGGGCAAUAUUAUUUCAUCUUAAUUUAUUUGGAGAAAUACAACUUAGCUGUCUGCUUAUAAACAUCAAAAAAUGUGCCAAAUGAGAAAAUAGGGCAUUAACAAUCAGAAUUUAAAUUUUUUUUAAUUUCGAUGGUUUUGGGGGUAUAGGUGGUUUUGGUUAUGUGAAUAAGUUCUUUAGUGGUGGUUUCUGAGAUGUUGGUGCACCCGAGCAGUGUACACUGUACCCAAUAUGUAGUCUUUUAUCCCUCACCCCCCUCCCAACCUUCGCCACUGAGUCAAAAGUCCAUUAUAUCAUUCUGUGCCUUUGCAUCCACAUAGUUUAGCUCCUACUUAUUAGUGAAAACAUACAAUAUUUGGUUUUCCAUUCCUGAGUUACUUCACUUAGAACAAUGGCCUCAGGCUCCAUCCAAGUGGCUGCAAAAGACAUUAUUUCAUUCCUUUUUAGGGCUGAGUAGUAUUCUGUGGUGUGUAUGUACCACGUUUUCUUUAUCCAUUCAUUGGUUGAUGGGCACUUAGGUUGGUUCUUUGUCUUUGCGAUUGUGAAUUGUACUGCGUGUGUAGGUGUCUUUUUCAUAUAAUGACUUGUUUUCCUUUGGGUAGGUACCCGGUAGUGGGAUUGCCAAAUCAAAUGGUAGUUCUACAUUUAGUUCUUUAAGGAAUCUCCACACUGUUUUCCAUAGUGGUUGUACUAAUUUGCAUUCCCACCAGCAGUGUAAAAGUGUUCCCUUUUCACCACAUCCAUGCCAACAUUUGUUGUUUUUUGGCUUUUUAAUUAUGGCCAUUCUUUCAGGAGUAAGGUUUCAUCUCACUGUGGUUUUCAUUUGCUUUUCCCUGAUGAUCUGUGAUGUUAAGCAUUUUUUCAUGUUUGUUGGCCAUUUGUAUAUUUUCUUUCAAGAAAUGUUUAUUCAUGUCCUUUGCCCACUUUUGGAAGGGAUUAUUAUUAUUAUUAUUAUUUUCUUGCUGAUCUGAGUUCCUUGUAGAUUCUGGAUACUAGACCUUUGUUGGAUGCAGUUUGCAAGUAUUUUCUCCCACUCUGUGGGUUGUCUGUUUACUCUGCUGAUUAUUUCUUUUGCUAUGCAGAGCUUCUUAGUUUAAUUAGGUCCCAUUGAUCUUUGUUUUUGUUGAAUUUGCUUUUGGGGUCUUAGUCAUGAAUUCUUUGCCUGAGCCAAUGUCCACAAGAGUUUUUCUGAUGUUAUCUUCUAGAAUUUUUAUAGUUUCAGGUCUUAGAUUUAAGUUUGAUAUUGUUUAGAUCUGUGUCCGGAUCCGCACCAAAUCUCAUGUUGAAUUGUAAUCCCCAGUGUUGGAGGUGGAGCCUGAUGAAGGGUGACUGAGUCAUGUGGGUGGCAUUCUCAUGAAUGGGUUAGCACCAUCCUCUUGGUGCUGUUCUCAUGGUAAGAGUUCUCAGGAGAUCUGGUUGUUUAGAAGUGUGUGACACCUCCCCACCAUCUCACUCUCUCUUCUUUCUGCUCCAGCCAUGUAAGACAUGCCUGUGCCUGCUUCCCCUUUGCCUUCUGCCAUGACUGAAAGUUUCCUAAGGCCUCCUCAGAAGCCGAGCAGAUGCCAGCAUCAUGCUUCCUCUAAAGCCUGUGGAACCAUGAGCCAAGUAAACCUCUUCUCUUUAUAAAUUACCCAGUUUCAGGUAUUUCUUUAUAACAAUGUGAGAACAGACUAAUACAAAGUGUUUGGCCAUCUUGAAUUGAUUUUUGUAUAAGGUGAGAGAUGAGGAUCCAGUUUCAUUCUUCUACAUGUGGCUUGCCAGUUUUCCCAGCACCAUUUAUUGAAUAGAGUGUCCUUUCCUCAAUUUAUGUUUUUGUAUGUUUUGUCAAAUAUCAAUUGGCUGUAAGUAUUUGGCUUUAUUUCUGGGUUCUAUAUUCUGUUCCAUUGGUCUACAUGCCUAUUUUUCUUUUUUUUUUUAGACAGAGUCUCGCUCUGUCUCCCAGGCUGGAAUGCAAUGGUGCAAUCUCGGCUCACUGCAACCUCUGCCUCCUGGGUUCAAGCGAUUCUCCUGCCUCAGCCUCCCCAGUAGCUGGGAUUACAGGCACCUGCCACCACACCCGGCUAAUUUUUUGUAUUUUUGGUAGAGACGGUGUUUCACCAUGUUAGCCAGGAUGGUCUUGAUUUCCUGACCUUGUGAUCUGCCCACCUCGGCCUCCCAAAGUGCUGGGAUUACAGGCGUGAGCCACUGCGCCUGGCCUACAUGCCUAUUUUUAUACCAGAACCGUGCUGUUUUGGUAACUAUAACCUUGUAGUAUGAUUUGAAGUCAGGUAAUGUGGUGCCUCCAAAUUUGUUCUUCUCACUUAGUAUUGCUUUGACUAUGCAGGCUCUUUUUUCGUUCCAUAUGAAUUUUAGGAUUGUUUUUUCUAGAUGAUCAUGAUAUCUUUUUCUUUUUCUAGAAGAAUGAUGAUAAUAUUUUGGUGGGAAUUGAAUUGAAUCUGUAGAUUGCUUUGGACAGUAUGGUCAUUUUCACAAUAUUGAUUUUUCCCAUCCGUGAGCAGGAGAUGUGUUUCCAUUUGUUUGUGUCAUCUAUGAUUUCUUUCAGCAGUGUUUUGUAGUAUUCCUUGUAGAGAUCUUUCUCCUCCUUGGUUAAGUAUAUUCCUAAGUAUUUUAUUUUUGCAGCUGUUGUAAAAUGGAUUGAGUUCUUAAUCUGAUUUGAUUUUCAGCUUGGUCGUUGUUGGUAUAUAGCAGUACUACUGAUUUGUAUACAUGGGUUCUGUAUCCUGAGACUUUAUUGAAUUUGUUUUUUAGAUCUAGGGGCUUUUGGGAUGAGUCUUUAGGGUUUUCUAAGUAUACAUUCAUCAUUGGCAAAUAGCAAGAGUUUUACUUCCUCUUUUCCAAUUUGGAUGCCUUUCAUUUCUUUCUUUUCUCUGAUUGCUCUGGCCAGGAUUUACAGUACUAUGUUGAAUAGAAGUGGUGAGAGAGGGCAUUCUUGUCUUGUUCCAGUUCUCCAGAGGAAUGCUUUCGACUUUCCCCCAUUCAGUAUGAUGUUGCAUAUGGGUUUGUCAUAUAUGGCUUUUACUACUUUCAGGUAAGUCCCUUCUAUGCCUAUUUUGCUGCAGGUUUUUAUUAUAAAGGGAUGCUGGAUUUUAUCAAAUGCUUUUUCUACAUCUAUUGAGAUGACCAUACAGUUUUUAUUUUUAAUUCUGUUUAUAUGAUGUAUCACAUUUAUUGACUUGCAUAUGUUAAACCAUCCCUCU
This 5865-nucleotide long non-coding RNA is filed under the name Homo sapiens (human). RNAcentral's name for it is "non-protein coding lnc-CDK20-8:5". The record is from RNAcentral. Lineage: Eukaryota; Metazoa; Chordata; Mammalia; Primates; Hominidae.